CAUGGAACAACCAAGUCAAAACCAAGCAAUGAGUUUUAGCAGAGGAGUAAACCCUAAUUUGUAAUAGCAGCAACAUUGAAAAUUUCAACAAGUAGUAGACAAGGGAAAAGGAAAAGCAAAAGAUUCCAGAAAUUAUCUAGUUGGGUUAUGCGAUGGGGCCCAAAGGAUACAUAUUACAAUGAGUAAUAAAUAAGUAUGCAAGGACGUUCCAAAAAGCUGGGAUGAUCCAAGCUCUUUCCCACAACUCGCUCAAGGGAUCUGAUGCAUUGAAAAAAACCUAGAUCUGGUCUGUAAAAGACACAGAGACAGAGAGAGAGAGAGAGAGAGAGAGAGAGAGAGAGAGAGAGAGAGAGGAACCCUAGAGGAGUAGAGAUGGAUUGAGAAAGGGGAAACAAAGAGAGAUGGUCGAUUGAGAGGGAAAAGGGGAAAUAGAGAGAGAGGGUCGAUUGAGAAAGGGA
Molecule: long non-coding RNA, 458 nt
Organism: Magnolia sinica
Lineage: Eukaryota; Viridiplantae; Streptophyta; Magnoliopsida; Magnoliales; Magnoliaceae
Exons: 2
Source: RefSeq, a predicted model, not a curated record